This 464-nucleotide ribosomal RNA is filed under the name uncultured bacterium. RNAcentral's name for it is "bacterial SSU rRNA". It matches the Rfam family "Bacterial small subunit ribosomal RNA", at positions 340 to 793 of the family's 1533-position model. The record is from RNAcentral.
UACGGGGAGGCAGCAGUGGGGAAUAGUUGCACAAUGGGGGAAACCCUGAUGCAGCCAUGCCGCGUGUGUGAAGAAGGCCUUCGGGUUGUAAAGCACUUUCAGUAGGGAGGAAGGUAGUGUAGUUAACACCUGCAUUAUUUGACGUUACCUACAGAAGAAGCACCGGCUAACUCCGUGCCAGCAGCCGCGGUAAUACGGAGGGUGCGAGCGUUAAUCGGAAUUACUGGGCGUAAAGCGCAUGCAGGCGGCCUGUUAAGUCAGAUGUGAAAGCCCGGGGCUUAACCUCGGAAUUGCAUUUGAAACUGGCAGGCUAGAGUCUUGUAGAGGGGGGUAGGAAUUUCAGGUGUAGCGGUGAAAUGCGUAGAGAUCUGAAGGAAUACCAGUGGCGAAGGCGGCCCCCUGGACAAAGACUGACGCUCAGAUGCGAAAGCGUGGGGAGCAAACAGGAUUAGAUACCCUGGUAG